CUGCGAUGAAAACGGGCCUUUCAUGCAAAGGAAGCCGGUGAAAAUCCGGUGCGGUCGCGCCACUGUAAUGCGGGCAUGCAUGGCAUCAUGUCGAUGCGCGCACCCUGCCAAGCCAGAUACUUUGCAUGAUAUCCUUUCUUCCAUCCAUCGGGGACGCGAUUUCCCCGCAGGAGUCAU
RNAcentral lists this small RNA (177 nucleotides) under Novacetimonas hansenii. The record is from RNAcentral. Lineage: Bacteria; Pseudomonadati; Pseudomonadota; Alphaproteobacteria; Acetobacterales; Acetobacteraceae.